ACAUUUGUGGCCACCUGUAUUUUCAAGGUCCUACAGUCCCACUUCUUUUCUUUUUUUUUUAUCAAAUUAAUUUUUAUUUGAAUAAAAUUUUGUACCCAAAGAACUCCUUCCUUCUUCCCUGUUGCAAGAUCUUACGUGAGCCAUAAAACCACCUCCUGAGCUUUCCACAUUGUACUCAUUUUUGCCUUUGUGAAAUAUUGCAGUUGCUUAGCACUUCUACUCCCUCAGAACCAACCAGAAAAAUAUUCCCAAAUUGAAAUCUGACACGAUUUUUUCUAGCAAAUCAACAAAAAAAUUCAACAAUCAAC
Molecule: long non-coding RNA, 308 nt
Filed under: Nicotiana benthamiana
Lineage: Eukaryota; Viridiplantae; Streptophyta; Magnoliopsida; Solanales; Solanaceae
Description: long non-coding RNA (NBEN_LNC041331)
Source: RNAcentral